Molecule: ribosomal RNA, 435 nt
Filed under: uncultured bacterium
Lineage: Bacteria
Description: bacterial SSU rRNA
Rfam family: Bacterial small subunit ribosomal RNA
Source: RNAcentral
CAGGCCUAACACAUGCAAGUCGAACGAGACCUUCGGGUCUAGUGGCGCACGGGUGCGUAACGCGUGGGAAUCUGCCCCUUGGUUCGGAAUAACCGCUAGAAAUGGCGGCUAAUACCGGAUGACGACGUAAGUCCAAAGAUUUAUCGCCUUUGGAUGAGCCCGCGUAGGAUUAGCUAGUUGGUGGGGUAAAGGCCUACCAAGGCGACGAUCCUUAGCUGGUCUGAGAGGAUGAUCAGCCACACUGGGACUGAGACACGGCCCAGACUCCUACGGGAGGCAGCAGUGGGGAAUCUUGGUCAAUGGGCGCAAGCCUGAUCCAGCAAUGCCGCGUGAGUGAUGAAGGCCUUAGGGUUGUAAAGCUCUUUUACCCGGGAAGAUAAUGACUGUAUACGGGGGAAUAAGCCCCCGUUUAUCUUGGUGCCAGCAGCCGCGGUA